GAGUUUGAUCGUGGCUCAGGAUGAACGCUGGCGGCGUGCCUAAUACAUGCAAGUCGAGCGAACAGACGAGGAGCUUGCUCCUCUGACGUUAGCGGCGGACGGGUGAGUAACACGUGGAUAACCUACCUAUAAGACUGGGAUAACUUCGGGAAACCGGAGCUAAUACCGGAUAAUAUAUUGAACCGCAUGGUUCAAUAGUGAAAGACGGUUUUGCUGUCACUUAUAGAUGGAUCCGCGCCGCAUUAGCUAGUUGGUAAGGUAACGGCUUACCAAGGCAACGAUGCGUAGCCGACCUGAGAGGGUGAUCGGCCACACUGGAACUGAGACACGGUCCAGACUCCUACGGGAGGCAGCAGUAGGGAAUCUUCCGCAAUGGGCGAAAGCCUGACGGAGCAACGCCGCGUGAGUGAUGAAGGUCUUCGGAUCGUAAAACUCUGUUAUUAGGGAAGAACAAAUGUGUAAGUAACUAUGCACGUCUUGACGGUACCUAAUCAGAAAGCCACGGCUAACUACGUGACAGC
Molecule: ribosomal RNA, 521 nt
Filed under: uncultured microorganism
Description: bacterial SSU rRNA
Rfam family: Bacterial small subunit ribosomal RNA
Source: RNAcentral